GCCCUGGAAACGGGGUCUAAUACCGGAUAACACUCUGUCCCGCAUGGGACGGGGUUGAAAGCUCCGGCGGUGAAGGAUGAGCCCGCGGCCUAUCAGCUUGUUGGUGGGGUGAUGGCCUACCAAGGCGACGACGGGUAGCCGGCCUGAGAGGGCGACCGGCCACACUGGGACUGAGACACGGCCCAGACUCCUACGGGAGGCAGCAGUGGGGAAUAUUGCACAAUGGGCGAAAGCCUGAUGCAGCGACGCCGCGUGAGGGAUGACGGCCUUCGGGUUGUAAACCUCUUUCAGCAGGGAAGAAGCGCAAGUGACGGUACCUGCAGAAGAAGCGCCG
This 334-nucleotide ribosomal RNA is filed under the name Streptomyces sanglieri. RNAcentral's name for it is "bacterial SSU rRNA". It matches the Rfam family "Bacterial small subunit ribosomal RNA", at positions 147 to 495 of the family's 1533-position model. The record is from RNAcentral. Lineage: Bacteria; Bacillati; Actinomycetota; Actinomycetes; Kitasatosporales; Streptomycetaceae.